UGUCCUGCACACUAAUCUUUGUUUCACAGUUUGCUUUCCAGGGAACCCAACAUGUUGCAGGACAAAUAUAAUCAUACCUCUAUAAAAUUGGCAAUGUGAGCAUUAAAUAAAAUGCAUUUUAAAUCACAUUACUUUUAAGAAAAAUGAUUUUAAAUUAUUGUUGUUGAAUUAAUCUAUGUAUGAUAUUAUAUUAUUACAAAUUAAAUUAUAAUCCAGGAAAAUAAGUUUGGAGUUGACAUAUGUAAAAUAUUUAAAUUAUAGUGGUAAGGGAUGAAGUCAUUAUUUGGUUUACCCGCCUCAAGAUAAGGCUCCAUCACUGUGUCAUCCCAAAGUUAUUUAAAUCAUAAUUACUAAAAAAUAUCUUCAAUAACUCAUUCAAAAAAUUGUACUGAGAGUCUAUUAUUUUCCAGACAUUACGCUAAUCCUCUUUUCUCAUGAAAAAAAUGUCCUUUCUACUAUGGGAAAGAGAUCGGUAACCAUAAUCCUGCCAUAUGCUUGGCUUACAUCUCUUGUCUCAAUAGCCCAUGUGGUUUAGUGUAUCUUGAUUUUCCAUAUUUUAAGGGGCUAUUUUUACUAAUAGUUUUCUUGAAAUAAAUUUGAGUGUUUUUGAUAGAAUUCUACUUUUUAUUUUUAGCAGAGUUUGAAUAAGUAGUGUGUGGGACACAUGCAUAGAAUGAUUUUCAAAUUAACAAGUGGUUAAAUCUCAAAAAUAAUCAGCAAGUUGCCUCCCUUUCCCAGACCCUUUUUUGAUAAAUCUUAACUAAUCUUUCAAUUUCACAAAUAGUAUAGAUCUGUGUUCUCUGAUAAAAAAAAUACUUAAUAUGGUAUGUCUUGUCAAUGAGUACUAUUCAACCAUAAAAAGUAAUAUAAGUGAUAUUAGUUACAACAUGAGUGAACCUUGAAAAUCCCCAAGCUCAGAGAAGCCAGUCACAUGAGAUCACAUAUUGCAUGACUAGAUUUUUAUAAAAUUUCCAGAGUAGGCAAAUAAAAAUAGAACUAAAUUGGUAGUUCCCUAGAACUGGCCCAGGGAAAGUGAUAGAGAAUGACUUGUAAUGAGCAUGGGUUUCUUCUGGAUCAUAGAAAUAUAAAAUUACAUUUUGGUGAUGAUUGUAAAACUCUGUGUUUACAAACUAUUGAAUACUAUAAUAUAAAUAGACUACUUUCACUGUAUUCAAAUUAUACCUCAAUAAAGAUGUUAGAAAAACGAAUUCUUUGAUAAGAGUGAUUUAGAGAUAACCAGCUUCUUGUGACCCUGGUGAUGGUGGGAGGAAUAUUGAACACUCCCACUCCUGGGUCAUUUGGUGAGGCAACUAAUUGUACCAGGGCUGUGUGGCUACCAGUUAAUAUGCAUGGUAAGAAAAAUGGAAGAUGACAGCUUAGGUUUGUGGGAAUUGUGUAUAGGAGAUAAAGACUUAACAGUCCUACUGUGGAAUGUGCAGAAGCAUCCUUAAAAAUGUUUUUAUUAUUCACAGUAUAAUUUAAUUUAACAACCAUUUACCCUUUCAGCAGCAAGUGUGUGUGUGUGUGUGUGUGUGUGUGUGUGUGUGUGUGUGUAUAUAUAUAUAUAUAUAUAUAUAUAUAUAUAUAUAUAUUUUAAAGAAAGUAUGCUGUUUUAGUCAGCUUUUUUGCUGCUGUGACUAAAAGACUUGACAAGAACAUCUUUAGAGGAGGAAAAUAUUAUUGAAGGCUCAGGAUUUCUCAGUGGUUGAGGUAAGGUUGAAUGUCAUGGUCGAAGAGUAUAAUGGAGGGAGGUAGCUCACAUGAUGAUCAGGCAGAAGAGAGAGAGACUCGCCAGAUAUAAGAUAUAUACCCUAAAGGCCCACUCCCAAUGACCCAUCUCUCCUAGCCACACCCUACCUGCUGCCAAUUAAAACUCAUUGACAGGAUUAAGUAUCUCAUAACUCAAUCAUCUCUCCUCUAAACCUUCUUGCAUUGUCUCACACAUAAGCAUUUGAGGGACACCUCACAUCCAAACCAUAAUAUACACAUAUAAUUAAAAACAUAAGAACUAUAAUUCCAUUUUUCAAGAAAAAUUGUGUAAACUCUGCAAAUAUUUAUUGACACUUAUUACUGCAAUUGAGUCUUUAGUGAUAGCAUUGACCAUAUGAAAAUUUAAAUGAUGCAUAUAAAUCAAAAACAUCACUGGCACCUACUUCAUACAUUAGCAGUUAUUUUUAAAAGUCUAUGCCUCAGAUGAUUUAAAAUGUGCAACAUCAUAAUGUAUAUUAACAUAUUUCAUUUUGAAGCCUAACUUUCAUUUAGAUCAAAUAAUCACUCUUCUGAAGGAAUUUGCCCAUUAUUUGUUUCAAGGGUUCUUGUGCAUGUAUAAGAUAGGAAACAAAUUACAUUGUUAUAUUACAUGCAUAUAUGAAUAUGUACCAACCAUUCCAAAUAUUAUGUAUAAUUAUAAUGCACCAAUCUAAAU
This 2425-nucleotide long non-coding RNA is filed under the name Marmota monax (woodchuck). Lineage: Eukaryota; Metazoa; Chordata; Mammalia; Rodentia; Sciuridae. The record is from RNAcentral.